CGCGAGGGUACAUCGCGAACAGUCUGAUGUGAUUAGAAUCUUUCUUGUGCGUUCAAGCUCAUUUUGACGAGUUUCGCUACGUCGGGGUGUUCAAAUUUUGUAUGGAAAAGACGUCAAAUGCGCUCAUCAGCGCAACGGAGUUUUGCCAACUUCAUAGAAGAAGAAGGCUCGUGAUAGCGUCAAUUCUAUCUUCGCAGGUUGCAAAGUUGGUUGGAAACAUGCAAGUGAGCUAGACGAAGAAAGGAAUACCGGAAGUGCAGAGUUACUCAAGAAUGCACGUCGAUUUGAAGGUGAAGCCAGGAGUUUUGAAUAUUGUCACUUUGCAGACGUAGCAAUUGAUGAUGAAAUGAAAUUAUAAAGGAAAGAGUUAAUAGAAAUAAUUUUUUUCAUAAAAUCGGUCUGUGUAGGGAAUCAGGCCCUUUUUAAUUAAUUAAUUAAAUCUAUAUAGAGGCAAAACUAGAA
Molecule: long non-coding RNA, 462 nt
Organism: Corticium candelabrum
Lineage: Eukaryota; Metazoa; Porifera; Homoscleromorpha; Homosclerophorida; Plakinidae
Exons: 3
Source: RefSeq, a predicted model, not a curated record